This 71-nucleotide transfer RNA is filed under the name Hippocampus sindonis (Dhiho's seahorse). RNAcentral describes it as "tRNA-Thr". It matches the Rfam family "tRNA". From Rfam's summary of the family: Transfer RNA (tRNA) molecules are approximately 80 nucleotides in length. Their secondary structure includes four short double-helical elements and three loops (D, anti-codon, and T loops). The record is from RNAcentral. Lineage: Eukaryota; Metazoa; Chordata; Actinopteri; Syngnathiformes; Syngnathidae.
GCAUUUGUAGCUCAAGUUAGAGCGCCGGUUUUGUAAACCGGAGGUUGGAGGUCAAAACCCUCCUUUUUGCU